RNAcentral lists this ribosomal RNA (1901 nucleotides) under human gut metagenome. Its description in RNAcentral is "bacterial LSU rRNA". It matches the Rfam family "Bacterial large subunit ribosomal RNA", at positions 1 to 1996 of the family's 2925-position model. The record is from RNAcentral.
UCUUCCGAUCUAAGAGCGCAAGGGGAAUGCCUUGGCAUCAGGAGCCGAAGAAGGACGUGACAAGCUGCGAUAAGCUUCGGGGAGGUGCAAAUAACCGUCGAUCCGGAGAUUUCCGAAUGGGGAAACCCGGCAGAGCAAUACUCUGUCAGCGUGCGUUGAAUCAAAUAGGCGUACGUGGGGAACCGCCUGAACUGAAACAUCUAAGUAGGGCGAGGAAGAGAAAUCAACCGAGAUUCCGCCAGUAGUGGCGAGCGAACGCGGAAGAGGCCAAACCAGUGGAUUUAUUCACUGGGGUUGCGGACAGUCAAGAAGUGAGAAAUGGUUAGACGAAGGGUCUGGGAAGGCCCGCCACAGAAGGUGAGAGCCCUGUAGUCGAAAACGAUUUCUUAGUGGACUGGAUCCAGAGUACCACGGGACACGUGAAACCCUGUGGGAAACCGGGGGGACCACCCUCCAAGCCUAAAUACUACCUGAUGACCGAUAGAGGAGCAGUACCGUGAGGGAAAGGUGAAAAGGACCCCGGGAGGGGAGUGAAAGAGAACCUGAAACCUUGUGCUUACAAGCACUCAAAGCCCGUUAAGGGGUGAUGAGGUACCUUUUGUAGAAUGGUCCGGCGAGUUAUUGUUAUCAGCAAGCUUAAGGUAUUCAGUACCGAAGGCGUAGGGAAACCGAGUGUGAAUAGCGCGCAUGAAGUUGGUGGCAAUAGACCCGAAACCGGGUGACCUAUCCAUGGGCAGGUUGAAGUGGAGGUAAAACUCCAUGGAGGACCGAACGCACGUUCGUUGCAAUGACCGGCGAUGACCUGUGGAUAGCGGUGAAAUUCCAAUCGAACCCGGAGAUAGCUGGUUCUCCCCGAAAUAGCUUUAGGGCUAGCGUUAUGUUAGAUUACCGGAGGUAAAGCACUGAAUGGGCUAGGGGCUGAUAAAGUUACUGAACCCUAUCAAACUCUGAAUGCCGGAUAAUUGAUGAUCAGCAGUCAGACUACGUGAGAUAAGUCUCGUGGUCAAAAGGGAAACAGCCCAGACCCACAGCUAAGGUCCCAAAUAAUUGCUAAGUGGAAAACGAUGUGAGAUUGCCCAGACAACCAGGAUGUUGGCUUAGAAGCAGCCACACAUUAAAAGAGUGCGUAAUAGCUCACUGGUCGAGUGGUCUUGCGCGGAAAAUAUAACGGGGCUAAGCAGUUAACCGAAGCUUGGGCUUGCCGAAGGCAGGGGUAGGGGAGCGUCGAAUACGGGGUGAAGUCGCAGCGGGAGCAGCGGUGGACUGUAUUCGAGUGAGAAUGCCGGAAUGAGUAGCGAGAAUUAUGUGGGAAUCAUAAUGGCCGAAAAUCUAAGGUUUCCUGGGGAAGGUUCGUCCGCCCAGGGUUAGCCGGGAGCUAAGGCGAGGCCGCGAGGCGUAGUCGAUGCACAUACGGUUGAAAUUCCGUAGCCACCUUAUCGAAUGAAAGCUGACACUUGGAAAUAGCGGGACCCGGAGAUUGGUAGAUCCGGGCGUAAGGGACCGAACACGAGUAGGGAAGUCCGCGAUGUUCUGAGGCGAGAAAAGGCGAAGGUAGGGUGCCCGUACCGCAAACCGACACAGGUAGAUGAGGAGAGAAUCCUAAGGCCAACGGGAGAAGGGUUGUUAAGGAACUCGGCAAAAUGACCCCGUAACUUCGGGAUAAGGGGAGCCUGCGCGAGCAGGCCGCAGAGAAUAGGCCCAAGCGACUGUUUACCAAAAACACAGGUCUAUGCUAAAUCGAAAGAUGACGUAUAUGGGCUGACGCCUGCCCGGUGCUGGAAGGUUAAGAGGAGAUGUCAGGCAACGAAGCAUUGAAUCGAAGCCCCAGUAAACGGCGGCCGUAACGAUAACGGUCCUAAGGUAGCGAAAUUCCUUGUCAGGUAAGUUCUGACCCGCACGAA